This 729-nucleotide ribosomal RNA is filed under the name uncultured Enterobacteriaceae bacterium. RNAcentral's name for it is "bacterial SSU rRNA". It matches the Rfam family "Bacterial small subunit ribosomal RNA", at positions 771 to 1502 of the family's 1533-position model. Lineage: Bacteria; Pseudomonadati; Pseudomonadota; Gammaproteobacteria; Enterobacterales; Enterobacteriaceae. The record is from RNAcentral.
AACAGGAUUAGAUACCCUGGUAGUCCACGCUGUAAACGGUGUCGAUUUGGAGUUUGUUGCCUAGAGUGAUGGGCUCCGAAGCUAACGCGAUAAAUCGACCGCUGGGGAGUACGGCCGCAAGGUUAAAACUCAAAUGAAUUGACGGGGGCCCGCACAAGCGGUGGAGCAUGUGGUUUAAUUCGAUGCAACGCGAAGAACCUUACCUGGUCUUGACAUCCAUAGAAUUCUGCAGAGAUGUGGGAGUGCCUUCGGGAACUAUGAGACAGGUGCUGCAUGGCUGUCGUCAGCUCGUGUUGUGAAAUGUUGGGUUAAGUCCCGCAACGAGCGCAACCCUUAUUCUUUGUUGCCAGCGAUUUGGUCGGGAACUCAAAGGAGACUGCCGUUGAUAAAGCGGAGGAAGGUGGGGACGACGUCAAGUCAUCAUGGCCCUUACGACCAGGGCUACACACGUGCUACAAUGGCGUAUACAAAGGGAAGCGAAGGUGCGAGCUGGAGCGGAUCUCAUAAAGUACGUCUAAGUUCGGAUUGGAGUCUGCGACUCGACUCCAUGAAGUCGGAAUCGCUAGUAAUCGUAGAUCAGAUGCUACGGUGAAUACGUUCCCGGGCCUUGUACACACCGCCCGUCACACCAUGGGAGUGGGUUGCACCAGAAGUAGAUAGCUUAACCGCGAGGGGGGCGUUUACCACGGUGUGAUUCAUGACUGGGGUGAAGUCGUAACAAGGUAACCA